This 423-nucleotide ribosomal RNA is filed under the name uncultured Lachnospiraceae bacterium. Its description in RNAcentral is "bacterial SSU rRNA". It matches the Rfam family "Bacterial small subunit ribosomal RNA", at positions 355 to 794 of the family's 1533-position model. The record is from RNAcentral. Lineage: Bacteria; Bacillati; Bacillota; Clostridia; Lachnospirales; Lachnospiraceae.
UGGGGAAUAUUGCACAAUGGGCGAAAGCCUGAUGCAGCAACGCCGCGUGAGCGAAGAAGGUCUUCGGAUCGUAAAGCUCUGUCCUUGGGGAAGAUAAUGACGGUACCUGACUAAGAAGCCCCGGCUAACUACGUGCCAGCAGCCGCGGUAAUACGUAGGGGGCAAGCGUUAUCCGGAUUUACUGGGUGUAAAGGGAGCGCAGGCGGCGAAGCAAGCCAGAGGUGAAAACCCGGGGCUCAACCCCGAGGAUUGCCUUUGGAACUGUUUUGCUUGAGUGCUGGAGGGGCAGGCGGAAUUCCUGGUGUAGCGGUGAAAUGCGUAGAUAUCAGGAGGAACACCGGUGGCGAAGGCGGCCUGCUGGACAGUAACUGACGCUGAGGCUCGAAAGCGUGGGGAGCAAACAGGAUUAGAUACCCUGGUAGU